ACAUAUCUAGUAUAAUUAAUUACAAAAUUUUUUCGUAAUUUAAAUCCUAAUCUAGGGAAAUGUU
Molecule: transfer RNA, 64 nt
Filed under: Branchipolynoe sp. YZ-2018
Lineage: Eukaryota; Metazoa; Annelida; Polychaeta; Phyllodocida; Polynoidae
Description: tRNA-Glu
Source: RNAcentral